This 434-nucleotide ribosomal RNA is filed under the name uncultured Blautia sp. RNAcentral's name for it is "bacterial SSU rRNA". It matches the Rfam family "Bacterial small subunit ribosomal RNA", at positions 341 to 792 of the family's 1533-position model. Lineage: Bacteria; Bacillati; Bacillota; Clostridia; Lachnospirales; Lachnospiraceae. The record is from RNAcentral.
ACGGAAGGCAGCAGUGGGGAAUAUUGCACAAUGGGGGAAACCCUGAUGCAGCGACGCCGCGUGAAGGAAGAAGUAUCUCGGUAUGUAAACUUCUAUCAGCAGGGAAGAAAGUGACGGUACCUGACUAAGAAGCCCCGGCUAACUACGUGCCAGCAGCCGCGGUAAUACGUAGGGGGCAAGCGUUAUCCGGAUUUACUGGGUGUAAAGGGAGCGUAGACGGCAAGACAAGUCUGAAGUGAAAGGCAUGGGCGCAACCUGUGGACUGCUUUGGAAACUGCCUUGCUUGAGUGCCGGAGGGGUAAGCGGAAUUCCUAGUGUAGCGGUGAAAUGCGUAGAUAUUAGGAGGAACACCAGUGGCGAAGGCGGCUUACUGGACGGUAACUGACGUUGAGGCUCGAAAGCGUGGGGAGCAAACAGGAUUAGAUACCCUGGUA